RNAcentral lists this ribosomal RNA (253 nucleotides) under uncultured bacterium. RNAcentral's name for it is "partial 16S ribosomal RNA". It matches the Rfam family "Bacterial small subunit ribosomal RNA", at positions 524 to 776 of the family's 1533-position model. The record is from RNAcentral.
UACGGAGGGUGCAAGCGUUAUCCGGAUUCACUGGGCUUAAAGGGCGCGUAGGUGGUUUGGUAAGUCAGUGGUGAAAUCCCCGAGCUUAACUUGGGAACUGCCAUUGAUACUAUUAAUCUUGAAUACUGUAGAGGUUAGCGGAAUAUGUCAUGUAGCGGUGAAAUGCUUAGAUAUGACAUAGAACACCAAUUGCGAAGGCAGCUAGCUACACAAAUAUUGACACUGAGGCACGAAAGCGUGGGGAGCAAACAGG